GCUUCCGUAGCUCAGUCGGUAGAGCACUUCACUCGUAAUGAAGGGGUCACGAGUUCGAGUCUCGUCGGGAGCU
This 73-nucleotide transfer RNA is filed under the name Lachnospiraceae bacterium. RNAcentral describes it as "tRNA-Thr". It matches the Rfam family "tRNA". From Rfam's summary of the family: Transfer RNA (tRNA) molecules are approximately 80 nucleotides in length. Their secondary structure includes four short double-helical elements and three loops (D, anti-codon, and T loops). Further hydrogen bonds mediate the characteristic L-shaped molecular structure. tRNAs have two regions of fundamental functional importance: the anti-codon, which is responsible for specific mRNA codon recognition, and the 3' end, to which the tRNAs corresponding amino acid is attached (by aminoacyl-tRNA synthetases). tRNAs cope with the degeneracy of the genetic code in two manners: having more than one tRNA (with a specific anti-codon) for a particular amino acid; and 'wobble' base-pairing, i.e. permitting non-standard base-pairing at the 3rd anti-codon position. The record is from RNAcentral. Lineage: Bacteria; Bacillati; Bacillota; Clostridia; Lachnospirales; Lachnospiraceae.